RNAcentral lists this ribosomal RNA (254 nucleotides) under uncultured bacterium. RNAcentral's name for it is "partial small subunit ribosomal RNA". It matches the Rfam family "Bacterial small subunit ribosomal RNA", at positions 26 to 285 of the family's 1533-position model. The record is from RNAcentral.
AGAGCGAACGCUGGCGGCGUGCUUAACACAUGCAAGUCGAGCGGAAAGGCCCUUCGGGGUACUCGAGCGGCGAACGGGUGAGUAACACGUGAGCAACCUGCCCUUAGCUCCGGGAUAGCUCCGGGAAACCGGAAUUAAUACCGGAUACAACCACGGCCGACAUCUGCUGUGGUGGAAAGGAUUCCGGCUAAGGAUGGGCUCGCGGCCUAUCAGCUAGUUGGUGGAGUAACGGCCCACCAAGGCGACGACGGGUA